UUUAAAAAAAAAAAAAGCGAACCCAGAACAAAGACAGGACAUUGACAAGAGCUAUACUGGGAUCCCAAGCAGUUCCAAGAAUAACUUGCCCUUUCUGUACCUUCCCUUCAAGUUCCAGAAAGCUCUCAAGGUUGUUUGUUUGCCAGAAGGAUGUGCAUGUUCGUGUUUAGUUUUUCAAGUGAUAAAACGGGAAGGGGGGGGGGUUCCAAAGAAGGGCUAGCACUGGACCUUGCAAACAUUAAUAAAUAUUUGUCUAACUGAAUUGAAAUGCUUGUCUAGCCCACCCUCUGGGAGAAGCGCGGCGCCAAUGCGUGAUGUGAAUUUUGAAGCCAAGUUGACUCUGGUAUUAGAUAAACUUUCUGAUCCCAGUUCCUCCUCCCUGUGGCUUUCCACUUCGGCAAGGAAGGGACGAGUGGGGACUGUGAGGAGGGGAAGGGGGGCGGAGAAGGAGAUGGGGGUGUGUGUGUGUGGGGGGGAGUCCUAGCGCCGCGCAGGCGCUUUCCCCACCACCUCUUACCAUCACCCCCCCGCUCCCAAUCCCCUGUCGGGGCUCGGAGCCUCAGCUCCUGUGGGACGCCAAUGCACUUGUAAAGGGAGGGCUGGAGGCAGACACAAAGCCUGGGCCCUCCCCCUCCGUGUCCUCCUCCUCCUCUCUGCUCGGAAGUCCUGCCCUGGUGCUGCGCUGGUGCCAGUCCAGGGCCGAGGCUCUCCUUCUGUCCCACACACCCCCAGCCCAGACCUCUCGACCUGCAGCGAGGGCAGUGCAAGGUAACCUACAGUUUUGA
RNAcentral lists this long non-coding RNA (785 nucleotides) under Phascolarctos cinereus (koala). RNAcentral's name for it is "lncRNA (ENSPCIG00000036096.1)". The record is from RNAcentral. Lineage: Eukaryota; Metazoa; Chordata; Mammalia; Diprotodontia; Phascolarctidae.